UACAGAGGUCUCAAGCGUUGUUCGGAUUUACUGGGCGUAAAGGGCGCGUAGGCGGCCACUGCAAGUCAGUUGUGAAAUCUCCGGGCUUAACUCGGAAAGGUCAACUGAUACUGCAGGGCUAGAGUGCAGAAGGGGCAACUGGAAUUCUCGGUGUAGCGGUGAAAUGCGUAGAUAUCGAGAGGAACACCUGCGGCGAAGGCGGGUUGCUGGGCUGACACUGACGCUGAAGCGCGAAAGCCAGGGGAGCGAACGGG
Molecule: ribosomal RNA, 254 nt
Filed under: uncultured bacterium
Lineage: Bacteria
Description: partial 16S ribosomal RNA
Rfam family: Bacterial small subunit ribosomal RNA
Source: RNAcentral